GAUGAACGCUGGCGGCGUGCCUAAUACAUGCAAGUCGAGCGAACGGACGAGAAGCUUGCUUCUCUGAUGUUAGCGGCGGACGGGUGAGUAACACGUGGAUAACCUACCUAUAAGACUGGGAUAACUUCGGGAAACCGGAGCUAAUACCGGAUGAUAUUUUGAACCGCAUGGUUCAAAAGUGAAAGACGGUCUUGCUGUCACUUAUAGAUGGAUCCGCGCUGCAUUAGCUAGUUGGUAAGGUAACGGCUUACCAAGGCAACGAUGCAUAGCCGACCUGAGAGGGUGAUCGGCCACACUGGAACUGAGACACGGUCCAGACUCCUACGGGAGGCAGCAGUAGGGAAUCUUCGACAAUGGGCGAAAGCCUGACGGAGCAACGCCGCGUGAGUGAUGAAGGUCUUCGGAUCGUAAAACUCUGUUAUUAGGGAAGAACAUAUGUGUAAGUAACUGUGCACAUCUUGACGGUACCUAAUCAGAAAGCCACGGCUAACUACGUG
This 497-nucleotide ribosomal RNA is filed under the name uncultured bacterium. RNAcentral describes it as "partial 16S ribosomal RNA". It matches the Rfam family "Bacterial small subunit ribosomal RNA", at positions 28 to 507 of the family's 1533-position model. The record is from RNAcentral.